UACGUAGGGGGCAAGCGUUGCCCGGAUUUAUUGGGCGUAAAGGGCGCGUAGGCGGCUCGGCACGUCCGUUGUGAAAUCGCCCGGCUCAACUGGGCGGGGUCAGCGGAUACGGCCGAGCUUGAGCAAGCUAGGGGGCAAUGGAAUUCCCGGUGUAGUGGUGGAAUGCGUAGAUAUCGGGAGGAACACCAGUGGCGAAGGCGGUUGCCUGGAGCUUUGCUGACGCUGAUGCGCGAAAGCGUGGGGAGCGAUCCGG
This 253-nucleotide ribosomal RNA is filed under the name uncultured bacterium. Its description in RNAcentral is "partial 16S ribosomal RNA". It matches the Rfam family "Bacterial small subunit ribosomal RNA", at positions 524 to 776 of the family's 1533-position model. The record is from RNAcentral.